RNAcentral lists this transfer RNA (82 nucleotides) under Alienimonas chondri. RNAcentral describes it as "tRNA-Leu". It matches the Rfam family "tRNA". From Rfam's summary of the family: Transfer RNA (tRNA) molecules are approximately 80 nucleotides in length. Lineage: Bacteria; Pseudomonadati; Planctomycetota; Planctomycetia; Planctomycetales; Planctomycetaceae. The record is from RNAcentral.
GGGGCUGUGGCGGAACUGGCAGACGCGCCGGAUUUAGGUUCCGGUCUCUCACGAGGUGCAGGUUCGAGUCCUGUCAGCCCCA